Hypanus sabinus (Atlantic stingray) is the source of this 7646-nucleotide long non-coding RNA. RefSeq lists it as uncharacterized. The record is from RefSeq and is a predicted model, not a curated record. NCBI's taxonomy places the organism in Eukaryota, Metazoa, Chordata, Chondrichthyes, Myliobatiformes, Dasyatidae. The transcript is spliced from 3 exons.
UGCUGAAAGUGUCACCAUACUCCUGGCACCAACAGGACAUCCCCAGAGUUCACAAACCCGAACUGUAAUGAACGUGGGAGGAAACCAGAGCAUCCAGGAGAAUCUCCUUACAGACAGAGAAGGCAUUCAAGCCCCAAUUUUACAGCUGGUGCCAUAAAGUUUUGUGCUAACUACAACACUACCAAGAUUGGGAUUUGGAUGGAAUUAUUUACCUUUACAAUAAAACUUACUUCGGAAACAUUCACUUCAUGACAUCAUCGAGGGUGAAAUGGUGCUUUUCAGCUUUAAUUGAAAGUGGAUUUAUAAAGAAAGAGAGAUUCAUGAAAACACUUGAAAAUAUGGUCCAAAAGUACAUUCACAUCUGCAAGCAGUCAGAGAUGCCAACCAGUUAGUCCUAAUGCAUUGUCUUGAUCUGAAACAUUGACAAUUCUUUGUGCUCCAAAGAUGUCACUCAACCUGUUGAGCUCCUCCAGCAAAUCGCUUCUUACACCAGAUUCUGCAAUGUUUCUAACUCUGAGUUGACAGAUAAACCUUCCAGAACACAGCAACAGCAACUCUACAUCUCAUUCUCUCCACUCGCACCCCUCUUUCUCUGCAUAUGAAAUAGUUCAUUUCAGAUGAUACACAAGCUCAUCAACCUUUAGAUUUAACUCAGUUUCUCCCUUCAAAGGUGCUGCCUGAACUGCUAAGCAUUUCCAGCUUUUUUUUUCGGCUUCAUGCUAGUCAUAAAUAAGGUGGAGUUUGUGUCUGAAGAAGCCUCUCAGAUGACUGGCAAAACAUCUUCUAGACAACACAGCAAUCCAGUUGACUUGGUUUACUCCUGCUUCAUAAGGAGGCAUUUAUUUCAUUCAUAAUUCAUUUUGUUUUAUCUUGCACAAUGUAACUUUUACAGACAGAAUAAAAGUAAGUAAAAUGAUACAAAUAAAUCAAGAUUUCAAAUUCAAGGAACAAAGCAAUGGCAAUCAAAUUUAUAUGGAUGAUCUGGCCCUUCUGAUAUCCAGAUUAUGUCCAUAUAGACUCUUAAUGCAGUAAGACUUCUCAAGGUGCACAUGGAGGACUGUUAUAAAACAAACUCUGACAAAAAGCAACAAGAUAUAAAACAGUUAACAAAAAAUUGAAGAGGAGAGGCUUAGGAAAGAAUUACAGAGCUUAGGUACCUGACAGAUGAAGACAUAGUUGUCAUGGUCUGGAUCAGUUCUCCUUUAAAUUUAGUUAGGUUGCGUUAUAAUCUGGACCAUUGACUCCUAGUUCCCUUCUAAUUUCGUUUCACAUGUCCCUUGAGCUUGGCCAUUAAGGUAAUCUACUCUCGACCCGAACCAGCAGCUUAUAAGCCCUUGGCUUUAGCCAUCCGGGGCGAGAGUGUUAGGAAGCCUUAGCAAGUCGCCAUCGCUACCACAAGCCAGAGUUGCCUAGCCCGCUUUGGAGUUCCGGCAAUUCGCCUUCCUUCUCCAGAGUGGGACUGGGCAAGGUCAAACUGCCAGAGGUGAGUUGAAGGUGGAGCCCUGGCUCGAUGUUCAUGCCCCAUGUCCGUGUCUAUCCCUUGAAGAGGAGUCCUGGAUCAGUGAUUGUGGUGAACUACAUACACCUGUCUGGACACAUAUACCUGCUGACUGCUCCUGUGGCCCUUCCCACUGAUCCCGGUAUAAAGGCGAUUGAGGCCUGAGCCUGGCCCUCAGUCUCUAGGAUUUGGUAUGGUGGUCAACUACUGCUUGUUCUUUCUUCCAGUCAAUAAAAGCCGAUAUCUCGCCUUCAUGUCUCAGAGAGAGUUAUUGAUGGUGGAGUCCUGGCUCGAUGUUUAUGCCCAGUGUCCGUGUGUGCCCCUCAAAGAAGAGUCCCGGCUUGGUGCCUGAGUUGAAGGUGGAGUCCUGGCUUGAUGUUCAUGCCCAGUGUCUGUGUGUGCCCCUCAAAGAAGAGUCCCAGCUUGGUGCCUGAGUUAAAGGUGGAGUCCUAGCUUGAUGUUCAUGCCCAGUGUCCAUGUCUGUCACUCGAAGAGGAGUCCCGGCUCAGUGCCUGAGUUGAAGGCGGAGACCUGGCUCGACGUUCCGGUCCUGUGGUUAACCGAGUGUCCACGUUCUGGCUGAGGUGACCCAUGGUGUCCACAUCCUGGCUGCAGCGAUCCUUGGUGUCCACGUCUGGCUGUGGCGAUUCAAGGUCCUAGUCUCAAUGUCCAAGGUCCGCUGCGGUCCACGUUCCAGUGUCCCAAGUCCAAGGUCCAUGACAAUCCAUGUUCCCAAUGUCCAAGUCCAAGGUCCACGGCGGUCCAACUCCCUAGUCUCCUAGUCCGAGUUUCAUGUUCCUCUUUGUCCUCCUUGAUUUCCCAGUUCUCUGUGCAGCGAAUGAUAAACGCUAUUUUAUUGAACCUAAGAAAGACAUGUUUUGUGUCCUGCCUGUGGGUCCUCUCCCAGCACCCUUGCCCCCACCGUGUGACAAUAGCUGCCAUGUUCCAUUCAGAAAUAACUCUCCCUUGAACUUGAGGAUCAAAGACAUUUGGGGAUUUGAAAAACUGGUGAGGUGAUACAAAUAAGAAGGGAAAGCCUUGUAGACAUAUGAACAAAACACCGGUCUGUAUGUUUAGGGAAGCUAUCAUAGUCUGAUGUCAUGAUGACAGCCCAUUCAAUUGUUCAAUUGAUUUUGUGAAUGGUUGUGGUAGCACCUGGAGCAGAUGCCAUGAGACAUGCUUGACUUGUACAGUCAUCACAAUUUACCUUGUGUCUCAGUUUCCACUUAUGGAACUAUCGGUUACACCAGCAGUCGGCUCGAAUUUGUUUGAGCUUUCCCUGAAAGGUUGAGGUCUGGGCUUCCAUUGCUAGGAUCGGUUCACACCGUACAUUCAGUGAUGUUUGCCAAGAGUAUACCAUCAGGAGAUGGGACUGACAUUUGAUUGUAGAGGUUGGAUUGUGUUCCAGUAAAGCUGCAGGAUUUCAUACAGAACUGGGACAGGGAUUUAAUGUUCUUUGUUAGUGAAGGAGUGCUUUACAGCUAUUAAUGGGUGGAGAUCUUUAAGGAAAAUGUUUUCCCUUUGGACAACAAGACACUCACUGUGCGCUGCCACAGAAAGCCUCCUGAAUACUGUUUGUCUCUGAACUCCAAGACUAGUCCUCUUGCUGUCCCAGUCAUGAAAAUCUACUACUUGUUUUCUGGCAGUUCCUGAGGAUGAUUGAGAAGUGUUGAAUUGCAGUACUUUGUUGGAUUGGCCAGAGCAAAUGAAGUAACCUGUAGCAUACUGGUUCUCCUACCCCUGAUGUUCAGUUAUUUCUAAUCUUGGGUUCAGUGUUGCCCUGAUAACUACCAAACUGCUGCAAAACAAAAACACAAACACAUAAAUGUAAAUAGCAGAUAUGACAGCUUUGUUCCAAAAGGCCAUCACGUCCUUUAAUCAGGUCCAUUUCAAUUUUUGGAAAAAAUAUCUCAUUCAGGUCCACAAGCAUCAAAAGAGUCCAGCACUAUUUGCUGUAUAUAUUGCAGAUGUUUGCAGCUUAAAAACACAUUGUUAGGGAAGUAUAUUACUGGCUAUGUGAGCCACACACUGAUUAUUUAAAUAUCUUCCUCUUCUCAAUAAAAAACAACAGCAAACUGCCCUUCAAGCUACUAAUUCUGUACAAUAUCCUUUCAAGUAAAAGCAAAUUAAGGGGGAAUCAUGUUAAUCUUCAUUGUCUCUGAAGUAAUUAAAGGAGACGGAAUCCAACAACUGAAGCUACUUUGUUGUAUAAAUCGAACUUCAUUUUGAAUCCACUUCUAUAAAGGCUCAAAGCUCUUAGAAUUUCAUGAAUAAGGCCUUGCUUUUGUUCAAUUAUGUCAGUGGUAUUCUCUUUGGACUGGAUGUUAUUUUCUCCUUUCUUCAGCAUCUAUUCAUUAUAAUUUAUUUCCUUUUACUUUAGCCUAUUUUUGUCCUAUCAACCAAUGAGGAAUAAAUUGCAAAUGCUGUCCCUGAACACGAUGAAUAUUGUGGCGAGCAUUUUAUCCAUGAUUUCAGAUGAGAAAACUUGUUUAACAUUGUGACCAGUACAAAAACAGACUGGGCGCUAUGACCAGGGAGAAAACUCACUCUUGCACACCCCGGUUGGAGUCAGGGUGAUCCACAAAUACACAUGCAAGCAACUGUAUAAACCAAGCUAAAACGUUACAUUAAAUGAACUCAAACACCCCACCAUAAUCCUAAAAGCAUUUUAACACAAGCACAAUAAAUCACGCUGGUCAUUAGGAAUGCUGGGGUGAGCUGUUGACAACACCGCCAAAAGCAUCACAUUGCUUCCAGCUAAGGGUCAGCCAUCCCCGGCAACUGCAGAGACCACAACGAAGUCCAAAUGUCCAGGUGGUGGUCGAUGCCCCAUCCUGGAGUGCUGGGGGCUUUCUGGAGCCCUCACAGGAGAGGAACCGUUUGGUGAGACAAGAGGCAGAGCCCCUGGAGUGCCACUUCCUUCCUGGGUCGAUGCUGGCCGAGAGCUGAUAUUCUGCCAGCCAGUCCCAAUGCAGCACGACUGCCUUCUGCCACUCGGGCAACUGCACCCAAUAUACCACAUUAGAGGUGCAGUUGAGCACCUCUUCUGGCCCCUUCCAAUGGCUUCCUAGCUUGGGGGAUAGAGUCUUCUUCUGGGAGGGUUAGUAGAUCCACACUGGGGCCUGGACCACGGACUGCUGCAUUGGUGUCCGAGACUGAUGGUCCAGCCCCUUUUGGGAUGUACAAGUGGUGGUACCAGUGGUAGUACGAUGCCAGCCCCAGGAAGCUGCCAGGCUCAGAGACAUGGCGGAUGGGUGGGCCAUUCCUUGACGGUCGCCACCUCUUUGGCACUCACCAUGUACCCCAGGAACUUCAUCUGAUGGCGCAGCAGGCAGCAUUUUGUGUGCUUGAGGCUCAGGUCCACCUGGCGAAGACGUCUUCCAGGUUCCAAAGAGCAUCAUCAGAAAUGGCAGCGUGCACCAGGAGAUUGUCCAAAUAGAUGACACUGCAGUUCCACGGAUUGUGAGCCAGCACCUUCCCCAUCAGUCCUUGAAUGUGGCUGGGGUAUUACACAGACCUAACAACGUUACCUGGAAGUGCCGCAGCCCUUUGCCAAUGGUGAAGGGAGUCUUAGGCCGGGCUCCAGGGUACGUUUGACCUGCCAGUGGCCACUGGGGAGAAUGAGAGAGCUGAAACAGGCCAAACCCUUGAUACAGUCCAGGGCAUCAUCAAUUCAGGGCAGUGGCUAGUAGUCCUUCUUGGUCACUGCUUUGAGAGAGCGGUGGUCAAUGCAGAACUGCCACAACCCAUCUUUCUUCCUGACCAACACCAUCAGGGCUUUGCAUAGGUUGUCUGAGUGCUCAAUGAUGCCAUCUGCUGCCUGGCAUUUGGCGAGGGUCAGGUGAUAAGGUCGCAGGAGGAUGGGGUGGACAUCCCUGGUAUUAAUGUGGUGUUGGACCAGCCCCCUGCACCUGCAGUCUUUGUUCCCGGCUGUGAAGAUGUCGAGGUGUUGGUCCAGGAGGUUUUUCACCAUCCGCCCGCUGGCCCUGGUCCAAGUUCUCGCUGCUUCACUGCCACAGCCCUCGCACUGAGUGGACAGUCUCACUGGAAGGCACUGCAGUAGUGCUGCCGAUGCCAUCAUACUGUGCAGAUGCGGCUGUUGAUCACUGUGUGCUGUGCUGGGGUGACCGGUGGCAGUUGUUGCUCUGCUUGGUCUGCUUCCUGGAGCUGCCCUGCCGGUCAGCCACGGAUCUAGUGCCGAGCUAGAGUGUUGGUGACGGUUGACCCUACGUCCACCAAUGCAUGGUAUCUCGUGUCCGGCACCGUGCAUUCCACGUCUAAGCCUUGUUCUUCACCCGCGGCCCACCCGGGGAGGUGACAAUGGAGGGAUUCUGUUGGAGGUCUCGAGUGGUGCUUCCCUCAUGGCACCGCCCAUUCAGCAUUUCCCGGCCGCCACGCUGGGCCGUGGCAUGGGGCAGUUCCAAGCCACGUGGCCUGCCUGGUAGCCUGGAACGCUCAGUGGCACACAGCAGGGCUGGAGUGGCUCUGGUCAGACCAGUCUCACGGACUGCUCCUCAUGAGUUUCCUCCUCCACCUUGGUAACACCAUCCCAGCUCACGGCAUGUGAGGCAUCUCUGGAAUGCCUUGGGGGGCUAAAAUAGCUUCUUCCCUCACCAUCACGACCGAUGAUGAUGGCGAUAUCAGGUGACCAUGUUGCCGAAGGCACUCCAGCGUCAUUGCCUUUACAAAGGGAUGGAGCACAAGCUCUUCUUGGGCCAUGGGAGGGACUGAGGUAGCCUGCCCAGCACAGUGGUGGAGGUCUGCUGCAAAUGCCCCCAGGUUUACUCCCACAGGGGGCCACCUCCUGCCCGGUUCUUUCUUCAGCUUGGAACACCACUCCAGCACCAUUAUGAGGGCCCUGUAGUCAUCCUGCUCAGCCAGUGUUAGGUCAAAGAGGACAACAGGACAACUCAUCCAGCACCAGGGCAAGGUGCACUGCCGUCUCAUUGGGGCUCCACCGGUUGUGCAUGUGGCAAGUUUGACUUUCAGCAGCGAAGGCUCCAGGCGGUUGGUACCGUCAUAUCUGGGGAGCUUCAGGGUGGACCCUGUGAUGUUAAUUGCUGGAGCCCAUUGGUCCCCCAUUUUUUCCUAGCAGCAUUGUUGAUGACUGCCAUGUUUCCUGUCCUCCGAUGUCUUGGGCUCCCCAGUACAGGCCACGAGGGAGGCAGGUGAUGCGCUCUGCCAUGUCCCCAUGUCUAUCAACUUAUUACCCUGGUCUUAAGGCGCUCCAUCCGAUGUCUUAGCUUGUCAAUUUCACUUUCAAUUUCUAAUUCCACUCCUGACACAAAUGUAGCGAGCAAUUGAUCCAUGAUGACAGACAAGAAAAGCUCAUUUAUUUCCACUGCCAUUUUUAUUAUGAUAAGUACAAAACCAACCAAAUGCAAUGACCCAGAGAGACAGGCCAAAGAUACCAAGAUACAUACAUACUGGGCAGGUGAUUAUAACAGACCCUGGACGCAGGGUGACCCACAAACACACAAGCAAGCAACUAUAUGGCCCAAGCUAAAAUGUAUCAAUAAAUGAACUUGAACAUCUCACCAUAAUUUCACAAAUGCAUUUUAAAACAAGAACAAUAUGUAGCGCUGUCCACCAGGAAUUCUGGAGCCGGCUGUCGACUGUGACCCCAGAGCGCACAUUAUCACAUAUUGCAAUGCACUGCUGCUGCAAAAACACAAAUUUCACGAUGUACAGCAGUGAUAUUAAACCUGAUUCUCUUUCUAAGAUAAAAGUAUGAAAAUUUGAACCAAGUUGUAGGUGCUGGAAAUCUGAAAUAGAGCUGUGCUAGAAACACUCAGCAGAUCAGGGAGCAUCUAUGGAAAGAGAAACAAGGUUAACACUUCAGGUCAAAGUGACUCCAUCACAUUUCAGUUCAGAACUUGCGGAUGUCUAUUUGGGAAAUGGUUGGGAGAGCAAGUUUGAGUUUUUAUUGAUUGUUUUCACUCUUCAUAAUUAUCCAAGGAUUAUUGACACUGAAGAAAACUUCAAAGUCAAAAACUGAAAACAGAAACCCUGAGAAUCCAACCAUUAAACGUCAUAUGGUGAUACUGAAUAGAUCUUAAUUUCACAUUUUGUAUUGUAUCUUCAGUUAAGUUAUCUUUACAGUUUAAUGUACUAUUAAGAAAAGUAGCCCCUUGUCUCAUUCUGUACU